AACGAACGCUGGCGGCAUGCCUAACACAUGCAAGUCGAACGAGACCUUCGGGUCUAGUGGCGCACGGGUGCGUAACGCGUGGGAACCUGCCCUUAGGUUCGGAAUAACUCCCCGAAAGGGGUGCUAAUACCGGAUAAUGUCUUCGGACCAAAGAUUUAUCGCCUUUGGAUGGGCCCGCGUUGGAUUAGCUAGUUGGUAGGGUAAAAGCCUACCAAGGCGACGAUCCAUAGCUGGUCUGAGAGGAUGAUCAGCCACACUGGGACUGAGACACGGCCCAGACUCCUACGGGAGGCAGCAGUGGGGAAUAUUGGACAAUGGGCGAAAGCCUGAGCCAGCAAUGCCGCGUGAGUGAUGAAGGCCUUAGGGUUGUAAAGCUCUUUUACCCGGGAUGAUAAUGACAGUACCGGGAGAAUAAGCUCCGGCUAACUCCG
This 431-nucleotide ribosomal RNA is filed under the name uncultured bacterium. Its description in RNAcentral is "partial 16S ribosomal RNA". It matches the Rfam family "Bacterial small subunit ribosomal RNA", at positions 29 to 505 of the family's 1533-position model. The record is from RNAcentral.